GACGAACCGUGCGAACGUUGUUCGGAAUCACUGGGCUUAAAGGGCGCGUAGGCGGGUUGCCAAGUCAGGGGUGAAAUCUUUCGGCUUAACCGGAAAACGGCCUCUGAUACUGGUAGUCUUGAGGGAGGUAGGGGCGGGUGGAACUCCCGGUGGAGCGGUGAAAUGUGUUGAUAUCGGAAGGAACGCCGGUGGCGAAAGCGACCUGCUGGAUCUCUUCUGACGCUGAGGCGCGAAAGCUAGGGGAGCGAACGGG
This 253-nucleotide ribosomal RNA is filed under the name uncultured bacterium. RNAcentral describes it as "partial 16S ribosomal RNA". It matches the Rfam family "Bacterial small subunit ribosomal RNA", at positions 524 to 776 of the family's 1533-position model. The record is from RNAcentral.